RNAcentral lists this ribosomal RNA (510 nucleotides) under uncultured bacterium. Its description in RNAcentral is "bacterial SSU rRNA". It matches the Rfam family "Bacterial small subunit ribosomal RNA", at positions 28 to 526 of the family's 1533-position model. The record is from RNAcentral.
GAUGAACGCUAGCGACAGGCUUAACACAUGCAAGUCGAGGGGUAGCAGGAUAGAAGCUUGCUUUUAUUGCUGACGACCGGCGCACGGGUGAGUAACGCGUAUGCAACCUACCUAUCAGAGGGGGAUAGCCCAUCGAAAGAUGGAUUAAUACCGCAUAAAACAGGGGCCUCGCAUGAGGAUAUUUGUUAAAGAGAUUCGCUGAUAGAUGGGCAUGCGUUCCAUUAGUUAGUUGGUGAGGUAACGGCUCACCAAGACAUCGAUGGAUAGGGGUUCUGAGAGGAAGGUCCCCCACACUGGUACUGAGACACGGACCAGACUCCUACGGGAGGCAGCAGUGAGGAAUAUUGGUCAAUGGGCGAGAGCCUGAACCAGCCAAGUCGCGUGAAGGAUGACUGCCCUAUGGGUUGUAAACUUCUUUUAUAUGGGAAUAAAAAACACUACGUGUAGUGUAUUGCAUGUACCAUAAUGAAUAAGCAUCGGCUAACUCCGUGCCAGCAGCCGCAGUAAAAC